This 433-nucleotide ribosomal RNA is filed under the name uncultured bacterium. RNAcentral describes it as "partial 16S ribosomal RNA". It matches the Rfam family "Bacterial small subunit ribosomal RNA", at positions 29 to 507 of the family's 1533-position model. The record is from RNAcentral.
AACGAACGCUGGCGGCAUGCCUAACACAUGCAAGUCGAACGGUACCUCCGGGGAUAGUGGCGCAGGGGUGCGUAACGCGUGGGAACCUGCGCUUAGGCUCCGAAUAACUCUGAGAAAUUUGUGCUAAUCUCGGAUAAUGUCUUCGGAUCAACGAUUUAUCGCCUUUGGGUGGGCGCGCGUUGCAUUGGCUAGUGGGUGUGGUAAGGGCCUACCAAGGCGUAGAUCCAUAGCUGGACAGUGAGGCUGAUCAGCGACACUGGGCCUGGGACACGGCCCAGACUGCUGGGAGAAGCGGGGAAGAUUGAUCUAUGGGAAUGGGCUUGAUGCAGAACCAGCGAGGGCGGGAGAGCGAUGUAGGCGUUAGAGAUGGAAAGCACUUUGACCCGAGAUUAUUAUGACGGUACCUGGAGAAUAAGCCCCGGCUAACUCCGUG